GGGCGUUUAGCUCAGACGGCUAGAGCGCUUCCCUUACAAGGAAGAGGUCACUGGUUCAAGUCCAGUAACGCCCA
This 74-nucleotide transfer RNA is filed under the name Phycisphaerae bacterium. Its description in RNAcentral is "tRNA-Val". It matches the Rfam family "tRNA". From Rfam's summary of the family: Transfer RNA (tRNA) molecules are approximately 80 nucleotides in length. The record is from RNAcentral. Lineage: Bacteria; Pseudomonadati; Planctomycetota; Phycisphaerae.